UAGCCUAGUGGUUAAGGCUAUGGAUCGCCAAUCCAGAGACGGCGGGUUCGAUUCCCGC
Aedes albopictus (Asian tiger mosquito) is the source of this 58-nucleotide non-coding RNA. The record is from Rfam. NCBI's taxonomy places the organism in Eukaryota, Metazoa, Arthropoda, Insecta, Diptera, Culicidae.